Molecule: ribosomal RNA, 401 nt
Filed under: uncultured bacterium
Lineage: Bacteria
Description: partial 16S ribosomal RNA
Rfam family: Archaeal small subunit ribosomal RNA
Source: RNAcentral
ACACCGGCGGCCCGAGUGGUGAUCGGGAUUAUUGGGUCUAAAGGGUCCGUAGCCGGUUUGGUCAGUCCUCCGGGAAAUCUGAUAGCUCAACUAUUAGGCUUUCGGGGGAUACUGCCAGACUUGGAACCGGGAGAGGUAAGAGGUACUACAGGGGUAGGGUGGAAAUCUUGUAAUCCCUGUGGGACCGCCUGUGGCGAAGGCGUCUUACCAGAACGGGUUCGACGGUGAGGGACGAAAGCUGGGGGCACGAACCGGAUUAGAUACCCGGGUAGUCCCAGCCGUAAACGAUGCUCGCUAGGUGUCAGGCAUGGCGCGACCGUGUCUGGUGCCGCAGGGAAGCCGUGAAGCGAGCCACCUGGGAAGUACGGCCGCAAGGCUGAAACUUAAAGGAAUUGACGGGG